GACAGAGGAACUUAGGCUUAAACCGCGGCGUCCUGCUGCGAGACUUUAGCCACCACGUCCUGUGGA
Small RNA from Bacillus sp. FJAT-27916, 66 nucleotides. It matches the Rfam family "Bacillaceae-1 RNA". Lineage: Bacteria; Bacillati; Bacillota; Bacilli; Caryophanales; Bacillaceae. The record is from Rfam.